UACGAAGGGUGCUAGCGUUGUUCGGAUUCACUGGGCGUAAAGGGUGCGCAGGUGGCAUGGUAAGUUUGAUGUGAAAGCUCAGGGCUUAACCCUGAAAUGGCAUUGAAUACUACUGUGCUGGAGGUUUGGAGGGGGGACUGGAAUUCUUGGUGUAGCAGUGAAAUGCGUAGAUAUCAAGAGGAACACCAGUGGCGAAGGCGACUACCUGGCCUGUUUCUUGACGCUGAGGCGCGAAAGCUAGGGGAGCAAACGGG
RNAcentral lists this ribosomal RNA (254 nucleotides) under uncultured bacterium. Its description in RNAcentral is "partial 16S ribosomal RNA". It matches the Rfam family "Bacterial small subunit ribosomal RNA", at positions 524 to 776 of the family's 1533-position model. The record is from RNAcentral.